GGUUUCUCCUUGAGUUAGGGUUGAGAGGAGGCUACGGCGCGCUUAUAAAGAGGCAUGGGUGGAAGCUGUCGCUAUCGAGGGCGGACGUGGCGCACGGGGCUCACCGGCCAGGAGGAAGAAAAGGUGAGGAAGAAGAAAGCCUGUGAGACAAGGCGUACUCUUGGGAAUGCAUCUUCGCUGCGGGAAAACGGAAAACGGGCGCCGCGCGAAGGAAGCUGGGCCGCGACCUGCGCUGCGGGGCCGCGCGGCGGGCGCGCGCGAGGCGGGGCCGAGGCGGCGGCUGGGCCAGCUCGGGCCUGAGGUAAGCAGGUAAGGUUUUUCUUUUAUUUCUUUUUCCUUUUUCAUGUUUUCUCUUUUGCAAAUGCUUUUGGAUUCAAAUUUCAAAUACCAUUUGAAAAGCUGAGAAGUAGGAGAAUUCAAAUAUGUUACUAGUAUUUGGAAAUGUUCAAAUGGGGUUAAAGGUUUGAAACAAAACCCAUUUGAAUGUCAUUUGUAAAAUAUAGGAAAAGGAAUUCAAACCCAAAGAAGGAUGAUUCAUAUUUUGAAUCUUCUAGCAAAUUCAAACAACA
RNAcentral lists this long non-coding RNA (569 nucleotides) under Brachypodium distachyon (stiff brome). Its description in RNAcentral is "long non-coding RNA (BDIS_LNC005477)". Lineage: Eukaryota; Viridiplantae; Streptophyta; Magnoliopsida; Poales; Poaceae. The record is from RNAcentral.